CAUUUUAGAAUGCUUGAAUAUAUUUUAUGAUACAAUCAUGAAAUCUGUGAUGUCUUAUUUAGAAAUGCAGGCCAAAUUACAUUUAAUUUAUUAAGGGUUUGGAGACAUAACACUUUACUCAUAAAGUACAUUAACAAAUAGAUCGGUGGGCUGGUAUAAAUGAACUGGGUUUACUCUAUUUUUUACCCCCUUCAGGCAGAACUCACAGUUUGGAGAUGAAAAAACAUUUAGUGAUUCAUCAUUGCUGGAAAAUCUCCAAAAUAAUCAUCCAACUGCACCUAUAAUAUGUGAAUUUCUUACAAUGAUGGCAGUCUGUCACACAGC
RNAcentral lists this small RNA (324 nucleotides) under Pongo abelii (Sumatran orangutan). RNAcentral describes it as "retained intron". Lineage: Eukaryota; Metazoa; Chordata; Mammalia; Primates; Hominidae. The record is from RNAcentral.